GCCAUGGCUCAGUGGUAGAGUAUCUGCUUGGCAUGCAGGAGAUUCCAGGUUCGAUCCCUGGCAACUCCA
Molecule: transfer RNA, 69 nt
Filed under: Sphaerodactylus townsendi
Lineage: Eukaryota; Metazoa; Chordata; Lepidosauria; Squamata; Sphaerodactylidae
Description: tRNA-Ala
Rfam family: tRNA (bases 5-61)
About the family: Transfer RNA (tRNA) molecules are approximately 80 nucleotides in length. Their secondary structure includes four short double-helical elements and three loops (D, anti-codon, and T loops). Further hydrogen bonds mediate the characteristic L-shaped molecular structure. tRNAs have two regions of fundamental functional importance: the anti-codon, which is responsible for specific mRNA codon recognition, and the 3' end, to which the tRNAs corresponding amino acid is attached (by aminoacyl-tRNA synthetases). tRNAs cope with the degeneracy of the genetic code in two manners: having more than one tRNA (with a specific anti-codon) for a particular amino acid; and 'wobble' base-pairing, i.e. permitting non-standard base-pairing at the 3rd anti-codon position.
Source: RNAcentral